Molecule: ribosomal RNA, 422 nt
Filed under: uncultured bacterium
Lineage: Bacteria
Description: partial 16S ribosomal RNA
Rfam family: Bacterial small subunit ribosomal RNA
Source: RNAcentral
AAUUUUGGACAAUGGGGGAAACCCUGAUCCAGCCAUCCCGCGUGUAUGAUGACGGCCUUCGGGUUGUAAAGUACUUUUGGCAGAGAAGAAAAGGUAUCUCCUACUACGAGAUACUGCUGACGGUAUCUUCAUAAUAAGCACCUGCUAACUUCGUGCCAGCAGCCGCGGUAAUACGUAGGGUGCAAGCGUUAAUCGGAAUUACUGGGCGUAAAGGGUGUGUAGGAGGUUCGGAAAGAAAGAUUGGAAAUCCCAGGGAUCAACCUUGGAACUGCAUUUUUAACUGCCGAGCUAGAGUAUGUCAGAGGGGGGUAGAAUUCCACGUGUAGCAGUGAAAUGCGUAGAUAUGUGGAGGAAUACCGAUGGCGAAGGCAGCCCCCUGGGAUAAUACUGACGCUCAGACACGAAAGCGUGGGGAGCAAACA